RNAcentral lists this ribosomal RNA (421 nucleotides) under uncultured bacterium. Its description in RNAcentral is "bacterial SSU rRNA". It matches the Rfam family "Bacterial small subunit ribosomal RNA", at positions 28 to 450 of the family's 1533-position model. The record is from RNAcentral.
GACGAACGCUGGCGGCGUGCUUAACACAUGCAAGUCGAGCGGUAAGGCCCUUUCGGGGGGUACACGAGCGGCGAACGGGUGAGUAACACGUGGGUGACCUGCCCUUAGCUCUGGGAUAAGCCUGGGAAACUGGGUCUAAUACCGGAUAUGACUCCAUGACGCAUGUUGUGGGGUGGAAAGCCUUGUGCGGCUAGGGAUGGGCCCGCGGCCUAUCAGCUUGUUGGUGGGGUGAUGGCCUACCAAGGCGACGACGGGUAGCCGGCCUGAGAGGGCGACCGGCCACACUGGGACUGAGACACGGCCCAGACUCCUACGGGAGGCAGCAGUGGGGAAUUUUUCGCAAUGGGGCAACCCUGACGAAGCAACGCCGCGUGGGGGAUGAAGGUCUUCGGAUUGUAAACCCCUGUCGACUGGGACGAAU